RNAcentral lists this ribosomal RNA (253 nucleotides) under uncultured bacterium. RNAcentral's name for it is "partial 16S ribosomal RNA". It matches the Rfam family "Bacterial small subunit ribosomal RNA", at positions 524 to 776 of the family's 1533-position model. The record is from RNAcentral.
UACGGAGGGUGCAAGCGUUAUCCGGAUUCACUGGGGUUAAAGGGAGCGCAGGCGGAUUUGUAAGUCAGUGGUGAAAGGCUUAAGCUUAACUUGGGAACUGCCAUUGAUACUAUAAGUCUUGAAUGUUGUUGAGGUUUGCGGAAUGGGUCAUGUAGCGGUGAAAUGCAUAGAUAUGACCCGGAACACCUAUUGCGAAGGCAGCAGGCUAAACAAAUAUUGACGCUGAGGCUCGAAAGCGUGGGGAUCAAACAGG